GAUGAACGCUGACCGAAUGCUUAACACAUGCAAGUCUUUGGCGAAUCUGUGCUUGCACAGGCUAGCCAAGGCGGACGGGUGAGUAACGCGUAAAGAACUUGCCCUGCAGACAGGGAUAACAGACGGAAACGACUGAUAACACCUGAUACAGUUGCCGGCACGCAUGUGCCUGGCAAUGAAAAGAGAUGCUGCAGGAGAGCUUUGCGUCCUAUUAGCUUGUUGGUGAGGUGACGGCUCACCAAGGCGAUGAUAGGUAGCCGGCCUGAGAGGGUGAACGGCCACAAGGGGACUGAGAUACGGCCCUUACUCCUACGGGAGGCAGCAGUGGGGAAUAUUGGACAAUGGGGGCAACCCUGAUCCAGCAAUUCUGUGUGCACGAAGAAGGUUUUCGGAUUGUAAAGUGCUUUCAGCAGGGAAGAAGAAAGUGACGGUACCUGCAGAAGAAGCGACGGCUAAAUACGUG
Molecule: ribosomal RNA, 463 nt
Filed under: uncultured bacterium
Lineage: Bacteria
Description: partial 16S ribosomal RNA
Rfam family: Bacterial small subunit ribosomal RNA
Source: RNAcentral